RNAcentral lists this ribosomal RNA (644 nucleotides) under Paramesotriton caudopunctatus (Guizhou warty newt). Its description in RNAcentral is "partial 12S ribosomal RNA". It matches the Rfam family "Bacterial small subunit ribosomal RNA", at positions 559 to 1527 of the family's 1533-position model. Lineage: Eukaryota; Metazoa; Chordata; Amphibia; Caudata; Salamandridae. The record is from RNAcentral.
CUCAAAGGGUGGUUAAAUACACAAAUUAAAUAAGGCUAAAAACUAACUCCGCUGUAGCACGCAAUAGUUAAAAUAAAUACAACUUCGAAAGUGGCCUUACUAAAAUAAACUUGAACCCACGACAACUAGGAGACAAACUGGGAUUAGAUACCCCACUAUGCCUAGUUAUAAACUUUGAUUUAUCCGCCAGAAUACUACGAGCAACAGCUUAAAACUCAAAGGACUUGGCGGUGCUCCACACCCCCUAGAGGAGCCUGUUCUAUAAUCGAUAAUCCACGAUAAACCUCACCAUCUAUUGCCAAUUCAGCCUAUAUACCACCGUCCAGCCCACCCUUUAAAGGACAAACAGUAGGCACAACUAUAAACAUAAAAACGUCAGGUCAAGGUGUAGCAUAUAAGAUGGGAAGAAAUGGGCUACAUUUUCUAAAUUAGAAAAUUACGAAAAAGCUUAUGAAACUAAAGCUAUAAAGGAGGAUUUAGCAGUAAAAAGAAAAAAGAGUGUUCUUUUUAAACCGGCAAUGGAGCGCGCACACACCGCCCGUCACCCUCUUCAAACAACUAUAAGCAAUAAAUAAACAAAGAUUAAAAAAAGAAGAGGCAAGUCGUAACAUGGUAAGUCUACCGGAAGGUGAACUUGGAACAUC